GACAUAGGGCGCGAGCGUUGUCCGGAUUUAUUGGGCGUAAAGAGCUCGUAGGCGGCUUGUUGCGUCGACCGUGAAAACCCGCGGCUUAACUGCGGGCUUGCGGUCGAUACGGGCGGGCUGGAGUUCGGUAGGGGAGACUGGAAUUCCUGGUGUAGCGGUGAAAUGCGCAGAUAUCAGGAGGAACACCGGUGGCGAAGGCGGGUCUCUGGGCCGAUACUGACGCUGAGGAGCGAAAGCGUGGGGAGCGAACAGG
This 253-nucleotide ribosomal RNA is filed under the name uncultured bacterium. Its description in RNAcentral is "partial 16S ribosomal RNA". It matches the Rfam family "Bacterial small subunit ribosomal RNA", at positions 524 to 776 of the family's 1533-position model. The record is from RNAcentral.